Molecule: long non-coding RNA, 2771 nt
Organism: Lates calcarifer (barramundi perch)
Lineage: Eukaryota; Metazoa; Chordata; Actinopteri; Centropomidae
Exons: 4
Source: RefSeq, a predicted model, not a curated record
GAAAUUACGGGCCACCUUUGUCAGGUGAUUGUGAUGAGUUUAAUGGGAUUUACUUUCACACAGUAGGAAUAAACCUUGUAUUUGUAACAUUACACAUAGGUGACACCGAUCUAAAUGAUCUUGAACUGUUACUAAAAAGCUUCUUUGUCCUCCGGCGGCUUUGUAUGUUAAUGAUCAUCUGAUCUGCAACUUUUAUUAGCACCGAGUGUUUGUUACUAGUGCUGAUUUGGCUAGCCGUCCCCAUAGCAUGUUGGCAGUGUGACUGUUCAUCGGGGAUAGGUGGAAGUCAAAGUUGUGCUGGAAGUUUAUUCUUUUUUAUCCAUGAAAACAGUCAGCAGCAAGUACUGUCAUCGGGAGUGGAGUUAAUUUACUUGGUACUGGAUAAGAUGACCAAGUCCAAGGAACGUGACCAGCAACAGCUCCAAGCAGAGAUGGCUGGACUUCAGAGGGAAGCGACAGUCAAUUCACCCGUUUCAGCCCGGCGACAAAUCUGUGGCACACUAAUGUCAUUUUAGUUUAGGAGGAACACAUUUUCUAUCAGUGACUGGUUGUACUCAUAGACUGUAUAUAAAGAGGUUGUACUGCCGCCUCCUGACUCGUCAAACUGUGCCCUGGGAAGACUUUAUUUGCUGUCUGCAUUUUGAAUGGACUGUUACCUGUAAAUUGUUGACAUGGCAACGGCUCAACUUACCGACUUGGACACGUGGUCAAGAAGAUGCCCUCCUAAAGGUAAGGCUGCACCACAAGAUUUAUUCGACGCCACUGAGGUCUUAAACGUUUCUCCCUGAAGAUGAAUGUGAGGUUAUUGAGCAGCCCACAAUGUUUCAACAGUAUCCCCCAUGAGUGCAUGGCAGAGGGUGAGCUGAAGUGCAAUAACCUUACUUCGGGUCGGCUGAUUUCACAUGAAGCAGUCGUUCAUCACUUCAGUUCUGGAGUCGCCCUCUGAGGCAGCAGUGGUAUCUGUCGUGGUAACCAAUCUGGACAGCGCUAAUGUAGACGUGCUGUGUGAUGUGGAGGCCUAUACUAUAUGUAUUGCCUGCCUGAGCUCAACCCCUGCAGCGCGCCGCCACACCAAAGUCCAUGUCCCAAAGUUACAGAGCUCCUGCAGCGAUUCUGGCACGGCUUCAGAGUAUGACAGCCGAUGGUGAGGGAGCUUCAACUGGAGGAUGUGUCCAGAGGUCCAUCCUGCCAUGCUGGGUCCCAGGUGUGUAUCCUUUCAUGGACAUAAUGUGCUCUUUUUUCUAUUUCUCCUCUGUGCAUCCUGGGUGAAUUAGCAUUUGAUGCAAGUGAAGCACCAACUGGGGACUGUAGUAAAGUAAACUGAGAAGGUUAAUGGAGAAAUGUCAACCAUAGGUGACUAGAGAUACUAGGGGAAAGCAGAGCUUUUUAUGCUUAACUGUGCAAAGACGCUAUUACUGUAGACUCAUUCUCAUGUGCUAUCAGCUAGCACUAGUUAAACUGUUACCACUAAACUUACUAGUAGUGUGAACAGUGACUGACUGGCAGGUAUCAGCAGAAUACCUUAUUUAAUCUGCUUACUGAUUGAUGACAUUUAAUUUCAGUUCUGUGUGUUUCAUGUUAAUAGUGCCUAUGGCAAAAAGGCUGUCUGGAGUGUAGCAGCCAUAAAAAAGCAAUGAUUAGUGAAGACGCAAACCCCUUUGAGGAAGACAAUUUGACUAAGGAUCUGUGGUUAAUAUGCAGUGACUGAACAAAUAUAUUUUAGCAGUACAAUCUUCCAUAGCAAAGGCAGGUGGUGUGUAAACCAGAUAAAUGACUCAACAGACAUCCAAUUUCAAUGGUUUAUGCCAGAGUAGUAAAAACGACAACUGCUAGGCUCCUGUUUGCUGCCGUUAUAAUAUUUAAAUUAUACUUGUGUGACUUAUAAAGCCAUGUUCUCCUGUGCCCCUGCGCUGAAUGCCAACUGAGAAAAUUGGGAUUGCUCUUUCAAUAUUUCCAAUCUUUGUUGAGUAACUGAAAAUAUUGGGAUUUGUGAUUACAGUCAUUGUUGUAAUAUUGAUUCAUGUGUGGGCAGUAGCAGCAAUUUCACUCAUGUGGAACCAUGGUUUGAAAUACAGUUCUCAACAAAGGGCAAACAGUUACUGACAAAGCAAUUUUCCACUCAAGGUCCCCGUAAUACAUUAAGUAAGGUUUAACUUAACCCCAUAGAUCAUGGUAUGAAAAUCUAACUAUAUUUCACUGGCUGGAUGCCUCCCACAUGACAAGACUGUAAUUACAAUGGCAUAUAAAUAAAAAGCCUCUUCAAUACAGUAUGCAUAGUCUAGUAAGAAACUUAUUAUAGGGAGAGCAAAAAACACCUGAGAACCAAUUACCCUUUGCUUAAUCACUACGCUUUGUUUAAGAGUUGUCAGGAACAAGAAAUGAUAACUGUUCUUUUUGAAGUGUAUUUAGUGGACCUGGAGGUCAGACACAUUGCAGUCAGUAGGUAUCAUGACAGUUUUGUUUUGGCUCUGUACUUGUGCACAUUGGAUUUUAAAUUACACAGUAACUUAUAGGGGUAAAGUGCUGACUUUCUACUUAAAUUUAAAGCUUCUCUAAUCCAUAUUUUAUAUACUAACCAUGAAUGAAACCACAGUCAUGUCAUUCAUAGUCACAAACUCACACAGCUCUGCAGUUCCCCUCAGCUCUAAGGAGAUUUUUAGCUUCCUUUUAGACAUUGGCCACAAAGGAAAAAAGACUACAAAUCCCAUACUAUUCACCCAAUUUGAAUGUGAACCCUAAAAACCCUGAAACUUGAAAGUCAUUGCUUACAA